AUAUAUCAGUUAACGUUUAUUUGAUAGUACCUUACUACUUGGAUAACCGUGGUAAUUCUAGAGCUAAUACAUGCUAAAAACCCCAACUUCGGGAGGGGUGUAUUUAUUAGAUAAAAAACCAAUGCCCUCCGGGGCUCUUUGGUGAUUCAUGAUAACUUAACGGAUCGCAUGGCCUUGCGCCGGCGACGGUUCAUUCAAAUUUCUGCCCUAUCAACUUUCGAUGGUAAGGUAUUGGCUUACCAUGGUUUCAACGGGUAACGGGGAAUUAGGGUUCGAUUCCGGAGAGGGAGCCUGAGAAACGGCUACCACAUCCAAGGAAGGCAGCAGGCGCGCAAAUUACCCAAUCCCGACUCGGGGAGGUAGUGACAAUAAAUACUGAUACAGGGCUCUUUUGGGUCUUGUAAUCGGAAUGAGUACAAUUUAAACCCCUUAACGAGGAACAAUUGGAGGGCAAGUCUGGUGCCAGCAGCCGCGGUAAUUCCAGCUCCAAUAGCGUAUAUUAAAGUUGUUGCAGUUAAAAAGCUCGUAGUUGAACCUUGGGCCUGGCUGGCCGGUCCGCCUCACCGCGUGUACUGGUCCGGCCGGGCCUUUCCUUCUGGAGAGCCGCAUGCCCUUCACUGGGUGUGUCGGGGAACCAGGACUUUUACUUUGAAAAAAUUAGAGUGUUCAAAGCAGGCCUUUGCUCGAAUACGUUAGCAUGGAAUAAUAGAAUAGGACGUGCGGUCCUAUUUUGUUGGUUUCUAGGACCGCCGUAAUGAUUAAUAGGGAUAGUCGGGGGCAUCAGUAUUCAAUUGUCAGAGGUGAAAUUCUUGGAUUUAUUGAAGACUAACUACUGCGAAAGCAUUUGCCAAGGAUGUUUUCAUUAAUCAGUGAACGAAAGUUAGGGGAUCGAAGACGAUCAGAUACCGUCGUAGUCUUAACCGUAAACUAUGCCGACUAGGGAUC
Molecule: ribosomal RNA, 945 nt
Filed under: Lophiotrema vagabundum
Lineage: Eukaryota; Fungi; Ascomycota; Dothideomycetes; Pleosporales; Lophiotremataceae
Description: SSU rRNA
Rfam family: Eukaryotic small subunit ribosomal RNA
Source: RNAcentral